RNAcentral lists this ribosomal RNA (253 nucleotides) under uncultured bacterium. Its description in RNAcentral is "partial 16S ribosomal RNA". It matches the Rfam family "Bacterial small subunit ribosomal RNA", at positions 524 to 776 of the family's 1533-position model. The record is from RNAcentral.
UACGGAGGGUGCAAGCGUUGUCCGGAAUCACUGGGCGUAAAGGGCGCGUAGGCGGCUCAUGAAGGCUGUGGUGAAAGUCCGGGGCUCAACCUCGGAUCGGCCGUGGCGACUCGUGGGCUGGAGCACUGUAGAGGCGGGUGGAAUUCCGGGUGUAGCGGUGGAAUGCGUAGAGAUCCGGAAGAACACCCGUGGCGAAGGCGGCCCACUGGGCCGGUACUGACGCUGAGGCACGAAGGCGUGGGGAGCGAACAGG